Molecule: ribosomal RNA, 472 nt
Filed under: uncultured bacterium
Lineage: Bacteria
Description: partial 16S ribosomal RNA
Rfam family: Bacterial small subunit ribosomal RNA
Source: RNAcentral
GACGAACGCUGGCGGCGUGCUUAACACAUGCAAGUCGAGCGAGAAACCUUCGGGUUUCUAGCGGCGGACGGGUGAGUAACACGUGGGUAACCUGCCUCAAAGAGGGGGAUAGCCUUCCGAAAGGAAGAUUAAUACCGCAUAAUAUUACAGUUUCGCAUGAAGCAGUAAUUAAAGGAGUAAUACGCUUUGAGAUGGACCCGCGGCGCAUUAGCUAGUUGGAGAGGUAACGGCUCACCAAGGCAACGAUGCGUAGCCGACCUGAGGGGGUGAUCGGCCACAUUGGAACUGAGACACGGUCCAGACUCCUACGGGAGGCAGCAGUGGGGAAUAUUGCACAAUGGGCGAAAGCCUGAUGCAGCAACGCCGCGUGAGUGAUGAAGGUCUUCGGAUUGUAAAGCUCUGUCUUUUGGGACGAUAAUGACGGUACCAAAGGAGGAAGCCACGGCUAACUUCGUGCCAGCCGCCGCCGUAA